This 318-nucleotide ribosomal RNA is filed under the name Streptomyces microflavus. Its description in RNAcentral is "bacterial LSU rRNA". It matches the Rfam family "Bacterial large subunit ribosomal RNA", at positions 2609 to 2925 of the family's 2925-position model. Lineage: Bacteria; Bacillati; Actinomycetota; Actinomycetes; Kitasatosporales; Streptomycetaceae. The record is from RNAcentral.
GUUUAGAACGUCGUGAGACAGUUCGGUCCCUAUCCGCUGUGCGCGUAGGAAUAUUGAGAAGGGCUGUCCCUAGUACGAGAGGACCGGGACGGACGAACCUCUGGUGUGCCAGUUGUCCUGCCAAGGGCAUGGCUGGUUGGCUACGUUCGGAAAGGAUAACCGCUGAAAGCAUCUAAGCGGGAAGCCUGCUUCGAGAUGAGUAUUCCCACCACCUUGAGUGGUUAAGGCUCCCAGUAGACGACUGGGUUGAUAGGCCAGAUGUGGAAGCCCGGUAACGGGUGGAGCUGACUGGUACUAAUAGGCCGAGGGCUUGUCCUC